RNAcentral lists this ribosomal RNA (301 nucleotides) under uncultured bacterium. RNAcentral's name for it is "partial 16S ribosomal RNA". It matches the Rfam family "Bacterial small subunit ribosomal RNA", at positions 509 to 807 of the family's 1533-position model. The record is from RNAcentral.
CAGCCGCCGCGGGAAUACGAAGGGGGCUAGCGUUGCUCGGAAUUACUGGGCGUAAAGGGAGCGUAGGCGGAUCGUUUAGUCAGGGGUGAAAUCCCGGGGCUCAAUCUCGGAACUGCCCUUGAUACUGGCGAUCUUGAGUAUGGGAGAGGUGUGUGGAACUCCGAGUGUAGAGGUGAAAUUCGUAGAUAUUCGGAAGAACACCAGUGGCGAAGGCGACACACUGGCCCAUUACUGACGCUGAGGCUCGAAAGCGUGGGGAGCAAACAGGAUUAGAUACCCCUGUAGUCCCUGUCUCUUAUAC